This 29-nucleotide non-coding RNA is filed under the name Mus musculus (house mouse). The record is from RNAcentral. Lineage: Eukaryota; Metazoa; Chordata; Mammalia; Rodentia; Muridae.
GNGCAUCAAGGGCUAAACUGGCCACGGUC